CGCGGGGCGGCCCGGGCGGGCGGGGGGCGGGGGCCACGCGGAGGGCGCGGCCGGGCCCGGGUCCCCGGGUCCCCGCGGGGGGGUCGCGAGCGCCCGGGGACGGCCGGGAGGCGGCCGGCGGCGCUCGGGGCGAGACGGAUGCUCCGGAGCCGGCAGCGGCUCCCUCCCGCAUCCUCCCGGGGGCCCGGGCGCCGAGGGCGCUGCUCCGCGUCCGCCCGGACCCCGGUGCCCGGCCCCAGCAACCCCGGGGACCCGCACCUGUGGGGCCCGCACGGCCCCGGGAAGCGCCCACCUGGCUGCCCUCGCGGCCCCUCCGCCGCCCCCGGCUCCCCGAGUCCUCCCCCGGGCGGCGGCAGCGCAGGUCGCCCGGCCCCAGCAUCCGCGGCCGCCGCAGGUGUGAGCGCCGCCGAACAAAGCCCACGCCCAGCCGCGCCCGCGGGGACCCGCCGCGCCGGCCCCGCACCUGCGCUCCCCGCCGCCCGGCACCGGGCGCGACCCCGCGGCCCUGCGCGCGCCGGGGAGCCCCGGGACCCCGCACGGCUCCUCCCGGGCAGCGCGGGGCAGAAGUUGGCCGCAGGCCGCCCGACACCGGGGCCGCCGCAGCUCCGCGAGCGCGUCAGGCCUGGGCGGAGGAAGGCAGCGGGCGCCGGGGCUCGCCCUGCGGCAGGGACGGCGGCGCGGCGCUGCCAGCCCGGGGGGGAGGGGGGCGGGGAGCGACAGCCCCCCCGCGCCCCCCGAGUCCCCGGAGCCCCCCGCGCACCCCGCGCCCCGCGCCCCGCGCCCCCCGCGCCCCCGCCGGCGCGCCCCGGGCUACUCACGUCCUCCGCCGCCGCGUCCGUCCCCGAGCGAGCCGCGCCUCCCGCCGGCCCGGGCUCCCCUGCGUCUGAGGCUCGGGCUGCGGCGCGCGCCCCCGCCGCUCCCGCCCCCGCGCCCGCCCGCGCCCGCCCCGCGCCCGCCCCGCGCCCCGCUCUCGCUCCGCGCCGCCCGCCUCGCCGGCCUCCCCCCGCCCCGCUCUCCGCCCGGCGUCCCCCGCCCUUCCCGGGCUGGCCCGGCCCCUCCCGGCCCUGCGGCGGCGGCGGCGGCGGCGGCGGCGAACGGGCUCGGGCCGCGGGCGCCUGGACCCCGGGUGGCCCGGACCCUGGAAGCCGCCGCCCCCGCGGGCCGGGAGGGCUGGGGGCAUCCCGGAGAAGUACUCGCAAGGUGGACAGGGAGUUGGGCUUGGCACGCGCGGAGCAUCUCAGCGCACGCGCCAUCCCCCCCCCCCCCCGCGGGACCGCGCCUCCCUCCCAGAGCUGCUCCCUCCCAGCCGCCCGCCGCGGACCCCUCCCCGCGGGCCCCCACUCGGCCUCGGCUCCGCGUGUCGUUCAGGAGAGCAGUCGCGGAGCCCGCCCGUCCGCUCCUCCCCCACCCCCAGGAGCCCCGCCCCCUCCCGCACCCCCGGGCUCCAGGCCCGGCGAGAGGCACGGGGGCGGCCUUCCAGGCCCUGCCCACUCCUCCGCGGGGCUCAAACUUCAGUUUGAACUUGCCACUUCGACCCCCCAGGUGAGCAGCCUUCUUUUCUUUCUCCUGCUGCCACCCUCUGCUCCUCCGGUCACCAGGUGUGCUCGCCACCCAGAACCUCCUGUUCCUGCGACCACAGUUCCUGCAACGGUAUUCUCACCUCUGGCCACUGGGUCUUUGCUCAGUCCCAUCCCUCGUCUGACCCUGGUCCUAAUCCCACCACCUGGGUACUUCUCACUUACCAGUGAAUUGUCCAAAUUUCCUUAG
Molecule: long non-coding RNA, 1767 nt
Filed under: Canis lupus familiaris (dog)
Lineage: Eukaryota; Metazoa; Chordata; Mammalia; Carnivora; Canidae
Description: lncRNA (ENSCAFG00030022735.1)
Source: RNAcentral